CAGAUAUUUAUUACAGUGAGCGGUCACUGUACCGAUUUUCCUCCUUCUGUAAAGAAACAGAAGUACCCUCAAGUAUCAUCUACGGCCAUACCCCCACUGGAGAAAGAAAAUCAAACUACACGGAACUUCCAUACAGUGAGUAUAUUAUUUUUUUUAUGAAUGUUUUAUGAUAAACGCUAUACAUUAAAAUAUCUAAUAUUUUUUAUUUUUUAGAGAUUGUGGAAUUCUGUGUUAUUUUAUACGAGAGACGGCGCGGAUCAAGGGGGGUCUGUCAAGAGACAAUCUACGAAAGACCUGAAUCAGCAGGCAUUACAGAUUCAGAGCAAGGUAUCGAAAUAAAGCACCGUUGAGUAUCAGUACCGAACACCAAGUACCGGUACCGGUACCGAUAUCGGUUCAAAUGUGAAAGGUACCCAACCCUAUUCACCACCACCAUGGGGAUGUACUGAGAACAGCCUCCUGUCCUCAUUGACUGAAUUGGAAUCCCAGCAACCCCUGCGGUGCCUGGUGAUUUCAUGCCUUCUCCCACUCACCUAUUGUCCACCAGUCAGAAGCAUUUUGUCUUACUGAAAAGUGCUAAGAUCUUUGCACCACUCCCAUAUUCCUCCUGACAGGGCACAGAUUUUACGCUACACUUUGACCUGCCAAUAACCAGAUGGCAAGUAUAAGCCUCAGCUGUCUGAUCUGCCCUUGGAAAAUGGAAAAGCAUCUUGAAUGUGGCACUCAUUCAGCUCGCUGCUUUCGAAACACAUCCAAGGUCGUCCAUCUUCCCAGCGGCCAACAAGAAUAGACAAAACAGCACGGCUUCUCGCAAGGCUCACAUAACCCAUCCUUCUCAGUUUCACUAAACUUACUUAUGUCUUAAUAUUGUGCUAAAAGUUAGAAAUAAACACAGAUAAAGUUAUGAGUGUGAAUGGUUUCCGUGCAAUUUUCCCUCCAUUAGUACUGUAUUAUGC
Brienomyrus brachyistius is the source of this 956-nucleotide long non-coding RNA. RefSeq lists it as uncharacterized. NCBI's taxonomy places the organism in Eukaryota, Metazoa, Chordata, Actinopteri, Osteoglossiformes, Mormyridae. The transcript has 4 exons. The record is from RefSeq and is a predicted model, not a curated record.